GCGGGCGUGGCGAAAUUGGCAGACGCACCAGACUUAGGAUCUGGCGCCGCGAGGCAUGUGGGUUCGACCCCCUCCGCCCGCA
This 82-nucleotide transfer RNA is filed under the name Bacteroidota bacterium. RNAcentral's name for it is "Bacteroidetes bacterium (aquatic metagenome) tRNA-Leu". It matches the Rfam family "tRNA". Rfam says of the family: Transfer RNA (tRNA) molecules are approximately 80 nucleotides in length. Their secondary structure includes four short double-helical elements and three loops (D, anti-codon, and T loops). Lineage: Bacteria; Pseudomonadati; Bacteroidota. The record is from RNAcentral.